GAUGAACGCUAGCGGCGUGCCUAACACAUGCAAGUCGAACGUGAGAGGGUACUUGUAUCCUUGAAAGUGGCGGACGGGUGAGUAAGACGUAGGUGACCUGCCUUGAAGUGGGGAUAACCAUUGGAACGAUGGCUAAUACCGCAUAAGCUGGUGACGAUGGGAAUCGUUAACAGGAAAGCUUUAGUGCUUUGAGAGGGGCCUACGGCCGAUUAGCUAGUUGGUGAGGUAAAGGCUCACCAAGGCGAUGAUCGGUAGCUGGUCUGAGAGGACGAUCAGCCACACGGGAACUGAGACACGGUCCCGACUCCUACGGGGGGCAGCAGUAAGGAAUAUUGGACAAUGGCCGCAAGGCUGAUCCAGCCAUGCCGCGUGCAGGAAGACGGCCCUAUGGGUUGUAAAGCUCUUUUGUCCGGAAAGAAAGCAUCUGGUUAAUACCCGGGUGUUCUGACGGUACCGGAAGAAUAAGCACCGGCUAACUUCGUGCCAGCAGCCGCGGUAA
RNAcentral lists this ribosomal RNA (499 nucleotides) under uncultured bacterium. Its description in RNAcentral is "bacterial SSU rRNA". It matches the Rfam family "Bacterial small subunit ribosomal RNA", at positions 28 to 523 of the family's 1533-position model. The record is from RNAcentral.